Molecule: small RNA, 585 nt
Filed under: Pongo abelii (Sumatran orangutan)
Lineage: Eukaryota; Metazoa; Chordata; Mammalia; Primates; Hominidae
Description: processed transcript
Source: RNAcentral
GUAUUGCAAGAGAACACUCAGAUCGAGCCAAGUGAACCCGAAAACCAAGAAGAAAAGAAACUCUCCCAGGAGGAACUGGAGGCAAUGAUGACAAAAGCUGACAAUGAUAAUAGAGAUCACAAAGAAAAGCUGGAGAGGUUGACUCGACUACUAGACCUUAAGAAUAACCGUAUCAAGCAGCUGGAAGGUAUUUUAAGAAGCCAUGACCUUCCAACAUCUGAACAGCUCAAAGAUGUUGCUUAUGGCACCCGACAGUUGUCGUUAUGUUUGGAAACACUGCCAGCCCAUGGAGAUGAGGAUAAAGUGGAUAUUUCUCUGCUGCGUCAGGGAGCUGGUGGAGAAGAGUUCGGGGUUCUAGAGUACUGGAUGAGGCUGCGUUUCCCCAUAAAACCCAGCCUACAGGCAUGCAAUAAACGAAAGAAAGCCCAGGUCUACCUGUCAACCAAUGUGCUUGGAGGCCGGAAGGCCCAGGAAGAGGAGAUCCUAGGCUUCACCUACAACACUCUCAAGCUGCCCUUUUCCUCAAUCCAUGACCAACAUCUUUCCAGUUCAGAUCGGAGUCUUGGGAACCUCAGAACGAGCUGU